This 253-nucleotide ribosomal RNA is filed under the name uncultured bacterium. RNAcentral describes it as "partial 16S ribosomal RNA". It matches the Rfam family "Bacterial small subunit ribosomal RNA", at positions 524 to 776 of the family's 1533-position model. The record is from RNAcentral.
GACAGAGGCCUCGAGCGUUAGGCGGAAUCACUGGGCUUAAAGCGUGUGUAGGCGGGCCCGUAAGUGUCUUGUGAAAUCCCCCGGCUCAACCGGGGAACGGCUGGGCAUACUGCGGGUCUUGGGCCGACUAGGGGCAGCCGGAACAAGCGGUGGAGCGGUGAAAUGCGUAGAUAUCAGGAGGAACACCGAUGGCGAAGGCAGGUCUCUGGGCUAUAACUGACGCUCAUGCACGAAAGCGUGGGGAGCAAACAGG